RNAcentral lists this long non-coding RNA (17075 nucleotides) under Nicotiana tabacum (common tobacco). Its description in RNAcentral is "long non-coding RNA (NTAB_LNC017472)". Lineage: Eukaryota; Viridiplantae; Streptophyta; Magnoliopsida; Solanales; Solanaceae. The record is from RNAcentral.
GAACCCCCUCUCAUUCCUAUCUCCUUCAACCAAACCCUAAGAGACCAUCCGCCACUAAAUUCCUCGCCGCCUCCGUCGCUAACCACCACCGAAAAUCACCUCACGACGGUUCCGGUGUUCCAAACAUCACCAAAUCAACACCCCAGAACCUCCGUCAUCUCCCCUUUCCAAAUAUCUUACCCAGUUCCUUCGAAUUAUCACCAAACAUCUCGAAUCUUAAAUCUAAGAUCGAUGCCUAAACACCCUAGUUCACCAAAAUGCCACCAAAUUAACACCCUACAAUCCUCACACCCCUCCGAACCCUAAACUAGCAUCAAUCCCCUUCGAAUCAGCCUCAAUUUCCUUGAAUUUUGAAUCUGAAGUCCCAGGAACCCUAACUUUCUUUCACUUCCAAAUUUCCGACAGUUUUUGGAGCUUUUGACUCCAAGAUUUCGAUGAAUCCAUUGCUCUUGAUAAGAGCAGUUGAUUGAUGGUUGUCUAAAGUUUAUUUGUACCCCGAAAAGUUGGGUCAAAAUUCAAAGACGAUCUAGUUUUAUUGUUGGAAGAAUUUAGCAAUAGGUAAUCUCUUGUAACUUUUUCUUUAGUUUUUCUUUUGGUUUCAGUCUUUUACCCUUAUUGUUAAUUAUUUUUGAUUUGGCCGUAUGAUUUGGUUACCUUUUCUUUUGUUUAGCUUCAUUAAUUACAUGUUUAGAUUUCAUCAUUAGGAGUUUAAUUUGCCUAGUUUCAGCAUGUCUAGUUUCUGAUACCCCUUUUGUUUUGUUCCUUUUUUCUUUCAUGAUUGUUCAUCUUGCAAGUUUGUUUCCAGUAUCUAUUAGUUUAACUACCUAUUUCAGCUAAUUUCUAAUUGAUUCAGCUUUAGCCUGAUAUAGCCUCAUCUUAGUAAAAAUAGGUUAAUUUUGAUUUUUUGAUGUUUCUUUGCACAAAGCAUGCUCAAUCUCAUUAGUUGUUUGAAUGUGAGACUGCUUAGGGUUAAUUGAGUUUAAGUUUUUCAAUUAGGUUUGAAUCUCUUAAUAGCAACUCAAAUUUUAGUUUAAUAUUAGAAAAGUAAACUGCAAUUCCCUAGGUUUGCAAAUUAGGGCAACCUAAUCACUUGUUUGUUUCUAGAAGGUCCUAAAAUGGUUGGAAUUGAUUUGAAAUUGAAAAUAGGACAAAGCUGAAAUAGUCAGUAAUUAAAAGGUUAAAAUGGACUUUUACAUAGGCUAAUAUCAUAAUGUUCUAGAUUUUGCAUAGCUGUCCCCAUCCUUAGCAUAAAAAUGCUGGUAUUGGAUAAGAAAAAUGAUAGACAACUGUAAAAAAGAUGUUGUACUAUUUUGCAGUUUCAAAAUUAGGUUAGAAUAUUCCUUUUUGGAUGCCUUUUGUACACUCUAUAAAAAGAAAAUAUUCCCUCACUCACACACACAUAUUCAUCACCAUUCUCUGCACAAAAGUUUUCUAAAAAAACAUCAUAUUUCAGAAACUCUAGAAAACAUUUAAAACUCCUUAUUUCUGGUUUUCACAAGCUAAGAAACAUGGUUUGAAGUGGGGGAUUUUCUUGGUUUCUUUAGCUGGGAUUUCUAGUUUCAAAGUUGGCUGGAUUUGGUUUAAAUUUCUAAUUUCUUUUAGGCUGCUGUUACUGUUAUUGAUUUCUGCACCUUCAAGCUUCAGCUGGCUUUCUUUGUUCAUCUUUUUAUUUGCUGGCUUUAUUGCUGUUUGUUCAAGGUACUAUGUUUAACCUUUUUCAUGUAAAGCUUUUAUUUGAAAUGAUAUGAAAUUGAAGCUGCUAGAAUUCAUAUGAUAGUGCAUUCUCAUGAUUAACUUGUGAUUGUGUUGAUUGGGUCUGAUUAGUUUUCUAUUUUAUGAGCUUUUGACAUGGUCAGUUUUGUUUAAAAGAACCUUGAUGUAUUGUAUUUUCUCCUUUUAGAACUAACUUUGUGUGAAGAUGCCUUUUCAGUCACAUGUCUGUAAUCUGCAGAUUUGGCCACCAGUUGGCCAAAUCAGCUAGAUCUAAGCUAAAGAUAGGAUUCUGCUGGUUAAAAGUAUGCUAAAAUUGUUAUUUUCCAUGUGGUGGAUCAACUGUGAUGGACAAAUCAUGUCCAAAAGAGGCAAGUAUUGGUUGUGUUGCUGAAAUUGUAAUAGAGUAGUUUUGUUUACAUAAUAGUUUAUAUGUUAAUAGGUCUGAUGCAACAUGCUUGGGAUUUUCUGGAAAAACAUUCUUCUUUCAUUUGUUUAUUUAUUCGGGACUGUAAUAAAUUAAAUUUUAAUAUCAUGUUAAGGAUCAAAAUAUUUGCUCUAGGGGUACAUUUGUUUUGUCAUUCUAUUAUUACCAUUAUGGUGGAACAAGCUAAGCUAUGAGCCCUAUCCGUAAGGAUAAAGGGCUAUUCUCUAAUUCAAAUGGGCUGAAGCUAUGAGUAAACCCAGAUGAAAAAUACCAAAGAAUCUGGGCUUAGCCCAUUGGGCCUGAGCCACAAGAGUGAAAAAUUGUCUUUCACCCGUAAAAAGGUUUCCUGUAUCAGUCAUAUUGUAAAUAUAUGUUUUUAUUCAUCUUGCAAACCAUGUAAUCAAUUGAUGAAUUAGAGUUAUGUUGUAUAUCCAGAUUUUAUUUGAAAGCAAGUUGAUUUUUAAUUAUUGUAAAUAUGUGAGUAAUGGUUAAAGGUAGAGGUGGACAGGCCCAGUUGGAAAACAAAUAGUGACUGAGCCCGCCUAUUACAAGUCCAAUAUGUGCCAGCUUUGUUCAAAUCGGACCAGCAAGGGCAUGUUGAGGCUCUUUCGUUUUUUUGGGCCAGGUCUUAAGCCUAAAAAAAGCUUUUCAAAGAUGAUUUUUUCCCGAUUUAAUCAAACGAUGAGCGUCCAGGCCCAAACUCCUUUUCAAAAGAAAUAAUUCAAAAGCCUAGCCCUCUCACACUUUAAGCUAAAAGGCUCAUAGUUUGAACUUAAAAUUAGGACUUAAAUACAAGUAUCCUUAGUCUUGCUUAAGUGAAAUGCAACCCUUUGUUAAAAUAAAAUUGAGAUGUGCCAUACACAAACAAAAAUUCAUAAGCUAUGACCCUCACAUUAAUAUUAACUUAGUAUUAAACGAUCUUAAAUACUCGCAGUUUGCUUUAGGCUCGACAUAGAUUAUUAUUGUAAUUAUGUAUACGUUCGCGUAAUAUAAUUACGAAUUUAAUUCUAAAAAGUAAUUCGAGAGAUGCGUUCACGCAACUUCAACCAAACAUUUUUAUAAUAAAAUAAACAAAGCGUUAUUAAUUGUGGACACGUUCGCGUGACAUAAUUUUUGAUGCGCCAAAAGAAAAGAGUAUAUGUACGCGUAACUCAAUUCUUUAAUUACGAAUAAAUCAAGUGAUUAAAAAUGAUAAAAGAUAAAUGUACAUAGGUCCUAAAAAAUGAGUAAUUAGAUAACCUAAGCCAAGUAUAAAUCGCUAAGCGACCGUGCUAGAACCACGGAAUCCAUGAAUGUCUAACACCUUCUCCCGGGUUAACAGAAUUCCUUAUCUAGAAUUUUUGGUUUGCAGACUUUUAAAAUAAAGUCGAAAUUCCUUAAUUUGGGUUUUAAAAAUAAACCGGUGACAUGGGACACCAUAAAUUAUCCCAAGUGGCGACUUUGAUAAAUUAAUUAAUCCCAUCUCGAUUAAUGUCACUUAAAUAGGAAAAAACUCCCAUAUACCCUCGGGUGUAAAAAGGAGGUGUGACAGCUCUGGCGACUGUACUGGGGAUAAGAACCCAGAACUUCUGGUUCAGGGUUCAAGAAUUCGAGCUUGCUAAUGUGAUUUUUAUUUGGCUUUAUUUAUUGUUGAUAUUACUGUAUUUUGUGAACCUAAUGUGCUUAUUGCCAUUUAUUUACCACUUUAAUAUUACUUGAACUGUAUUUAAAUGUCUUCUUACGCCUCCCCUCUAAGUCUUCUAAACAAAAUGGUGCUCACAUUCGCGUGGCCCACUUUUCUGUUAGAGUUAUACCAAAUAGAAUGGGGCUGGGCAAGCAAGGCUGGGCAGACUUUCGUGCUCCCGGUACGUUGCCCCCUCCUCGACUCGAGUUUAUCCUCUCGGGUAAGCCAGGUUUAGAACACAACCCUAGGUUUAAACCUAGAAUAAUGCAACCUCAUGUCGGAUCCCUAGUAGAAACGUUUGUUUGCAGCAUAUGCAUUUGACCUUGGGGACUCAACAUAGGGGUUGGGUCCGUCUAGGACAAGUGUACCCAAAAUAAUAGACCAUCCUGAUGCAUCUUACGUGCUAUAUGAAUAUUUAUUUGUUUCGGCUUGCAUGUUGACCAGCUAGGAAAAGAAAUUCAAGAGAAAAAAAACAAAGAGUGAGAUAGGAUAGAGAAUUUACCCGGUUCUAAAAAUCUCGGUAUUUGAAAAUAUCUCGAAACUCUGCCAAAUUUUUUGAAAAAAGAAAAAAAAGAAAAUGUAUUUAAAAAAAAAGUGAGUCAGAUAUCAUGUUUUUUAUGUCAAAAUUAACCGAACUACGCAGGUCUGAUUCACACUGGAUGUGGGAUACGUAGGCAACCCACAUAAGGUUCAGCCUCAUUUUUUACAAAAAAUAAUUAAGUAAAGUGUAGUUUAGGGUUUUGGUCAAAAGAAUAAGCUAACCCAGCUUCGGUUGUGAUUUAAGUCGUUCUUGCCAGGAUAGCCUUACAUAUCUUUCAAUUGUCAAACGGCUAUUUUCGUGAUGAACGGGAAAUUCUGUCAGUAAGGUAUCUUUUUCCAUAAAAUACCUUCCCCUGACCUCAAAAUUUGUUUGGAAUUGUGAAGGGCCACGUUUACAAAAACGACCAUUUUUGCUAAAGUAGCAUAAGGGGGGUCAUUUUCCGUUGAUUUUUCUUUUAGUAAUCAAAAACUUAUUUUGCAAAAGAGUCCACAAGAGUCAACCCUAGCCUCAACCCUCCAUAGGUACAAAUGAAUAUUGUCCAGAACCCGUCACAAUUGGUCAUAAAAUAGGCUCAGCUGCUGCUUCGCAUGUGGUGGAAUGAUUUAGAUAAAGAUGGUCCGGAUUGGGUAAAAAAGCAGUUGGGUGCCCUUAUAGACAUACAUAGAACCCCAGGAGAAUCUAAUCAAAGCUUUGGUAACCUUUUGGGAUCCUGUCCACAACAUGUUCCGUUCUCGGAUUUCGAGUUCAUCCCUACUCUAGAGGAAAUGGCCGGAUGCAUUGACUUUGUCUAGGACUUGAUGAAACAAUAACUUAUAUUCCCGAAGGCUCCCUCUGUGCACAAGUUCUUUGAUUUUCUAAAUAUAAACAAGCAAUGAAGAAGGCCCAUGUAAGCAAAGGGUGUUGUUCUUUCUACUUCUUAUAUUUCAGGUUCGGGCACCCAGCUUGGUUUGAAACGCAUGGGAAGAGAUUAACCAACAAAGAAGAUAAGAGCACCUGGCAGAUUCAUCGCCAGUUCGCUUUCAACGUGGCAUUUUUGGGAAUCAUGGUCUUUCCGAUGCAGAAGGGACAAUAGAUACUCGCAUGGCCAGAAUUGCACAAAUCCUCACUACUAAGAAAUAUCACACACUUGUUCCGUUAGUGCUGGCAGACAUUUAUCGAGCACUAACCUUGUGUAAAUCUGGGGCUCAGUUCUUUGAGGGUUGAAAUAUUCUUCUUCAAAUGUGGUUAAUCGAACAUCUCCGCUGUCACCCCAAGUUCAUGAGUUAUGGCUCGGACGGGAACAACUUCAUCAAGAAUUAUAAGGAAAGGGUGGAAGAUUACAAAUCUCCAAAAAGGUUUGAGGCCUGGGUCUCCCACAUAAAAAUUCUGAAAGCAACUCAAAUUGAAAGGACCAUAGGAUAGCUUCCGGUGACGGAAGUCAUUUACAUGACGGCUUCAAAAGGCUACUUGAUGAUGAUGGGUCUAAGGGGUAUCCAACCAUAUACACCGCAAAGUGUUCUAAGGCAACUGGGAAGAUAUCAAGUGGUACUCGAAGAUGUAGAUUUGAGUACCCAAGUCAUUGAGCUACACCCAGAAGCAAUACUACUUGAGGCUUUAGUCCAACGUGAUUGGAAUGGUUGUCGAUAUCUGAAAAGUGACACCCAGGUACCAGAUCUUGCGAGAGGUGAAGUGGAUCCAAAUUAUGUUGCAUGGUUUGAGAGAAGGUUUUGUGCGAAUGAUGAGCCAGAGCCCGAACCUGAAAGGCCCGCCAAAAGACCUCAUGUUCAAGAUUUUGAUGACAAAGUCUGGGAAUGGUUUGCCUGGGGAGAGAAGGAGAAAAAAUAUCAAGCCACCAUUCACGCUUUACAAUAAGAAUUGAGAAACAUCAUAUUCAAUAAUGAUCUACAGGAACAAGAAGCUGAAGGUGAAAGAAGAAGGUUGCCCCAAGAAAAUGAAGCUCUCCGGGCCCAAGUUCGAAAGAUGAGAAUAGCAGCUGAGAACCCGGGCAGAAGCAGAAAAGAUGAAAAGCUCAUCUACAUCCUUACGCAAAAAGUACGUGACUAUGAGGAUGAUUUGCAAAAGACUGAGGCUACAAUAGUGAAAGUUCGAACAAAGUUGGCCAGAAAUACAGAAGAACGGGCAACUUUUGUUUGACAAUUGAAGGGAAAAUAUGACAGAGGGGUCCUGGGCUGGAAAAAGGAGCUUAAUAGCCUUGAAUGUGAAAUGACUAAACAAGCCAAGAGCUUCAAAGCCGAUAGACAACAUUGCUAUGCUUUGAUGGCAUAGCUAGAGGAAGACCUACAACAUUUACAAGAGCAGAAUCAUACGGCCACCCAUGUUUUGGAAUCCAUAUCUCAGCAGAUUGGGCGUUUGUUACAAGAAAAGGGCAUCAUCAGGGAAAUGGUUAGAAGAAUCGUCGACUAUAUUGUGAUGAAGUGCAAGGAGUACGAGGACAUGACCAGGUCCAUGUUCUUUGCCAUAAUAAUGAUCUUUGUUCGCCAGAUAAUGGAUGACCUCUAUCGCCUCUAGGAUGACAUGGCAUGCAGGCCUGCGGCAAGACCAACCGGUGUUCUUAGGGCAAGAUUAGAGGCACUUAUGUACUCCUGAUUGUUUUCCUUUCUCUUUUCGAGUCUGUAUUUUCAUUCCUAGAGUCUGUUUUGAGUCUGUUUUAGUUUCUCGAGUUUUAAGUAUGUAUGAUUGAGUCUUUGUAACAGAAUUUUUUGUUUUAAUGAAAAUUUGAAAAACCCAAAAAUUCUUUAUUUUGCAUUUAUCCUUUGAACUACUUGAUGAUCUGAUUCACGCGGUGUCGUGAUAUGUAGGCAAUCCCUAUCAGAUCCGAUCAUGGUUUUAAAUAACUCAAAUAAAAGAGAAAAUGACGAAAAGAGAAAACCAAAAGGAAAAAAAGAAAAGAGAGAAAAUAGUGAGAGAGUGCAAAAGAAAGCAAGAGAAAGAUCGGGGAGAUAAACAAAAGCCGGGAUGAGACAUGCAAUCGUUGCAAAACAUGUAGAAACACAUUUAACUGUAUAGGUGCAUCACUCCCCCAAUGUGCGAUUCCCUAUGUGUUAAUUUCCUCGAACUAACCGGUUUGUUGUGUCUACUGUUGAGAUUAGGUUCAGUUUUAAGGUGGUUGGUUUUGUGGUAACCUGGCUUCGCACCCUUACGUUACAAGAUCCAAGGGAAGUGUCGAAUUGUCAUCAGAAAGUCAUCUACCAACAAUUCCCAUCCCAGAGGAUAGCCCGAUAUCGGUUAUCCCAACCUCAGAGUCAGCAGAUGCUAAAGAGAAUAGGGCACUUUGCCUCCGCCUAUUGGAAAUGUGGGAUGCUUGGUCCAAUGGUAGAGAGCCAUGGGUGCAAUACCUGGUUUCCCCGAGCUACUUCCCAGAGCAAGUGGAACUUCCAAUAUCCUAAUAAGUUACCCGAACACCCCACUUGGAUACCUCACCAUGUCAGCCCACUUCGCUGAAACGCCUUCAGAGGUUCGCCCCCAGGCAUUGAUUUUGGGAGUGGCUUCUAACAUAUUCAUGGAACCACUAACUUCGGCAACGACACAACCAACCUUGCCCAGGCCAAGUUUUGAUCCAUCUUCCUUUACUUUACAAGUACCAUCUUUUCCACCAGACACUGCUCAUUUCACCACCAAUUCUUACCCUUAACAACCCCGGUAUGCGUUUACCGUGGGGCAAGAGAGAGCUACAAAGAAUCUCUAACAAGAAGAAAUCACUCGGAAAACGAGAAGCAUGGAACAAAGCCUUAAGAAUAUAAAAGGUUUAAGUGGCCAAAAGAGCGUAUCCUACACUGAUUUAUGUAUGUUCCCGCAUGUUCAUUUGCCCAUUGGUUUCAUGACCCCCAAGUUUGAAAAGUAUGAUAGGCACGAGGACCCCAUAGCCCACCUCAAGAGGUAUUCCAAUCAACUAAGAGGGGCAGACAGAAAAGAAGAGCUCCUAAUGGCUUAUUUCAGAGAGAGUCUUGUUGGCAUUGCCUCCGAGUGGUAUAUGGAUCAAGACAUAUCUCGCUGGCAUAUAUGGGAUGAUUUGGGUUGAGAUUUCGUCAGGCAAAUACAGUACAACAUAGAUAUAGCUCUAGAUAAAAAUUCCCUAUCUAAUCUCAAAAAGAAGUCUUUGAAGAGUUUCCAAGAAUAUGCUGUUAAAUGGCGCGAACAAACGGCCAGGGUGAAGCCCCGAUGGAUGAGACCGAGAUGGUCAGUGUUUUUUUACAAGCCCAAGAGGCUGACUAUUUCCAGAAUAUGAUGUUUGCAAUGGGAAAGCCGUUUGCUGAGGCUAUAAAAAUUGGGGAGAUUGUCGAAAAUGGUUGAGCUACAUCCCAAGCAAUCCAGAGUAGGUCAGGAGGUGUAGCAAACAGAAAGAAGAAAGAAGAAAGAAGAAAGAAGAAGUGGCGAUGGUGGCUUCAAGUCUGAGAAACCCCCGUCAACUCCGAGGUUCCUUCUCGCCAAACACCCCGCAACAUCAUUAUCCUCACCAGGAUGUGGCUUAUGCCAUGGCUCCUCAGCCUUAUGUGGUGAUGAAUGCCCAGCCACACGCUCGACUACAACAACAGUUUAACCAAAACCGAGCUCCACUUCCUAGAAAUAACCUUCCUUACCAAGUUCCACAUAAUCCCCGUCCCCCACAAAAUAAUUUUCCAUACAAUGCCCAUGCCCGGGAGCCACCCAGAAGAACCAACUUCAUGCCUAUUGGUAAAUCAUACUCUAGCCUUUUGCCUAAGCUGGUCCAAAUGGGUAUGUUGUAACCCAUACCCCAAAACAGGCAGAACCUAGAGUCACCCUCCUACCGACACGGUGCUCGAUGUGCUUAUCAUUCUGGGGCAAAAGGGCAUGACACUGAGGACUGUUAGACUCUCAAAAUGGCAAUAAAAAACCUAAUAGAGCAAAAAGGGUAGUGCUAAAAGAUUAAGAAAUCCCCAAUGUGACCAAUAACCCAUUGCUGGCUCACAACAACGGGCCAGUUAUUGGGAUGAUUUGUGAAGAUAAAGAGUUUGACCCACCUCUAAAAGCCAUCAUUGCUAUCGCCGAUGUUGAAAAGAAGCCAAGGGUGGUUGACAACUAAGAAAAGGGGGAGAAGAACAACAACUCCACUUCUAGAAGUAUAGAAAUGACUGUGGAGGCCAAAAUAUGGGCAGUACCUCCUAAGGAUGCCAUUCUUUACGUUCCCCGGGCCUUCAGGAAAGAACAAUUUGCGUUGAGUCCUCCUUUCGAGCUGAACAAGGGACCUAAGAUGUAUGUACCCAAAGGAACUUAUAUGGCGUGGGGACCAGUAAUUCCACUCAGGCUGAACAAGCCCGUGAUCAUUAGCCGCGCACCAUAAAAGCCCAUGAAAGACCCCACUGCAGUCCCCUGGAACUACAACAGAGCAAUUGUGACGUACAAGGGGAAAGGAAUUAUGGGGAUGUAUAUGAAACUAAACCAUCUGGGAAGUAACUCAAUUUGGAAGAAGUGAACAACGCCAAGCAGAAGCGUUUCCUGCUUAAAAAGCCAGUCACUGCCGAAGAAGCAGAGGAAUUCUUUCGAAAAAUGGAAACUAUGGACUACGAGGUAAUUGACCAACUCCGGAAGUCUCCCUCUUAGGUCUCGCUUUUGUCUCUACUGAUAAGCUCGAAUGAGCAUCAAAGUUUUGAUAAAGACCCUCAAUGAAGCAUAUGUUCCGAUUGAAACUAGUGUCGAGCAACUGGAAAGAAUAGCGGAGCGAUUCUUUGAAGUCAACGGGAUUUUAUUUAGCGAGAAUGACUUGCCCACAGAAGGGGCUGCCCACAACAAGGCUCUUCACUUGACAGUCAAAUGUGAAUGGUACUGAGUGAAAAUAGUCAUGCUGGAUGGCGGAUCUGUGGUUGACAUCUGCCCUCUCUCAACUUUGCAAAGAAUGGAAAUUGUGACUAAGAGAAUCAGGACUAACAAUGUUUGUGUAUGUGCUUUUGAUGGCAUCAAGAGAUACACAAUAGGAGAGAUUGAUUUGAUCUUGACUAUCGGUCCGGUGGAUUUUGAAAUGACAUUUCAGGUCUUGGACAUGGAUACCUCCAAUAAUUUUCUCUUACGAAGGCCUUGGAUCCAUGCUGCAGGGGCCGUACCUUCUACUCUCCACCAAAUGAUAAAAAAUGAACACAAAGAUCAGGAAAUCGUGGUCCAUGGAGAGGACGUGCAAUCAAUUUACAGGAACCUGUCAGUCCCAUGUCUCGAGGCUAGGAAAGGUAGCGAGCACAUAGUCUAUCAAGCAUUUGAGGUUGUGGUCACAGAUCAAUGUGAGGAAGGAAGCCCAUGUCCUCAACCUUUUUUGUCAAAUGCAUCAAUCACGAUCGUUACUGAAAUGAUCAAGCACAGGUAUAAGCCCGAGAAGGUGCUCGGGGUAUCGUUGCAAGGUAUUACGAAACCUUUCACUUUGGCUGCCAGUGAGAAGUUUUUCGGUGUAGGUUUUAAAACCACCAAAGCUGAUGUGACAUGGGCAAAUAAAUGACAGAGCAAUGGUUGGGUGUUGCCUCAGUCGGUCCCGCAUCUCUCCAAAACAUUCGUCAAGCGAAAGUACAUAGAGGAAGAAGAAGAUGAGGCCUUCAUGGCCGAAUAAAUUGAGGACAUAUGUGGAUCUAUAAGGAAAAUGUUAUAUAAAGCUCACAUUGUUCAGCCGGGUGAAGGCUCGAGCACUGCUGAGGUAAAAUUUAUGGGGCCCAAUGCCAAGCUGCAAAAUUGGAAGGCUACUCCAUUCCUAGUCAGAAGGGAAUCCCGAUAGUCCCGUCUUGCCACCUUUUCUACAUUCCGAGUUAUUCCAGGGUGUAACUCGAAUGUUUUAUUUUAUGUUUAUUGUCUUUAAAAUUCCAAUGUAAACCCAUCUAUCUUCAAAUUCAAUGAAAUGAAAUCGAUAUUUCAUCGUCUAUGAAUCUCUUUCUUUAUUCUUUCUGAUUUUGUUAUUUUUCUUAUUUCUUCUUUCAGUUCUAAUAAUGCAAACAUAAAUAACAUGACAUGCUUGUGGACUUCAUGCCCAGAUCCUAACGCGCUAUCUAAUUGUGAAAUAAUGAAUCAAGAAUCAGAAUACGAUGAAGAUGAGGCUUUUAGGGAAAUAAAUCGAGAACUGGAACAAUUUGAGAAUAAGCCUAAGCCAAACCUAAAUGAAACUGGUCCAGUUAAUUUGGGUAGUUCAGAAGAGGUCCAAGAAACCAUGAUCAGCAUUCACACUGAUGAAAUGACUAGGGAUGCAUUGAUCGAACUUUUGUUCGAAUUCAAAGAUGUGUUUGUUUGGUCCUAUGAUGAUAUGCCAGGACUAAGGGUUGAUUUAGUGGUGCACAAAUUGCCAACUUACCCCGAUCAUCCCCCUAUCCGGCAAAAACAGAGGAAGUUCAAAACUGACAUCAGUGACAAGAUCAAAGAAGAGAUCACCAAACAGUUAAAUGCGGGGGUGAUCUGAGUGGUCCGAUACACCACAUGGUUGGCUAAUGUGGUUUCACUGCCAAAGAAACAUGGGAAAACUCGAGUGUGUGUUGACUAUCAGGAUUUGAACAAAGCAAGUCCCAAAGACAACUUCCCUUUUCCAAACAUUCACAUCCUUGUUGACAACUGUGCCAAACAUGAGAUACAGUCUUUCGUGGAUUGCUAUACUGGAUAUCAUCAGGUUUUGAUGGAUGAAGAAGACGCGGAAAAGAUAGCAUUCACCACAUCCUGGGGCUCCUAUUGUUACAUUUUUGGUUUGAAGAACGCUGGGGCAACUUACAUGAGAGCUAUGACUGCCAUCUUUCAUGACAUGAUACACUAGGAAAUCGAGGUGUAUGUGGACGAUGUUCGGGAUCUGAGAAAGUUCUUUGAGUGUCUGCGUAAGUAUGACUUGAAGUUAAAUCCAACCAAAUGUGCAUUUGGAGUUCUGUCUGGGAAACUCUUGGGAUUUAUAGUCAGUCGGAGGGGCAUCGAGCUAGAUCCCACUAAGAAAGUCUAAUCGGGAUUUGCCUCCUCCGAGAACUAAGAAAAAGGUUAUGAGUCUGUUGGGAAGGUCGAAUUACGUCAGCCGGUUCAUUGCUCAGUUGACUUUCACACGUGAGCCCAUAUUUAAGCUGUUGAAGAAAGAUGCAGCGAUUAGAUGGACAAAUGAGUGUCAAGAAGCCUUAGACAAAAUCAUAGAAUAUUUGUCGAAUCUACCAGUCUUGGUCCUACACGAACCUUGGAGGCCUUUGUUUUUGUAUUUGACAGUGUUGGAGAAUUCCUUUCGGUGCAUUCUUGGGCAACAUGAUGUGACCGGGAAGAAAGAACAAGCAAUAUACUAUUUGAGCAAGAAGUUCACUAGUUAUGAAGCCAAAUACACUUUGUUGGAAAGAACUUAUUGCGCCCUGACCUGGGUUGCUCAGAAACUUAGGCAUUAGUUGUUGUCUUAUACCACCUACCUCAUAACCAGGUUGGACCCUCUGAAAUACAUAUUUCAAAAGCCGAUGCCCACAGGAAGGUUAGCAAAAUGGCAAUUCCUGCUCACCGAGUUCGACAUAAUCUAGCAAAAUGGUAAAUCAUGCCCACCGAGUUCGACAUAAUCUAUGUCACCCGCACGGUAAUGAAAGCUCAAGCUUUAGCGGAUCACCUAGCUGAAAAUUCUAUUGAUGAUGAAUAUUAGCCUUUGAGUACUUACUUUUCGGACGAGGAAGUAAAUUCAGUUGAGGUAAUCUCAGAAGACACCAAUGCCUGGAAAAUGAUCUUCGAUGGAGCUGUGAACGUAAAAGGUGUCGGGAUUGGGGCAAUCUUGAUCUCACCCACUGGUCAGCACUAUCUGGUCACAGCCCGGCUCCAGUUUUUCUGCACAAAUAACACUGCCGAGAAUGAAGCCUGCAUUAUGGGUAUGAACAUGGAAAUAGACCAAGAUGUGGAAGAAUUGUUAAUUAUGGGAGAUUCAGACUUGAUUAUCCGACAAGCUCAGGGUGAAUGAGAAACUCGGGAUGUCAAGCUUAUUCCAUACAGGCAAAGUGUGGAUGAUCUUAGCAAGCGGUUCAAGUUCGUCGAGUUCAGGUACAUUCCUCGGUUUCACAAUGAGUUAGCUGAUGUACUAGCUACUUUGGCCUCGAUGCUACCAUAUCCAGGAAAUGUCCACAUUGACCCAUUGGAAAUCCAAAUUCAUGAAAGGCAUGGUUAUUGUAGUGCAGUUGAAAUAGAGCCUAACGUUCAGCCAUGGGAUCAUGAUAUCAAAAGAUUCUUAAAAACAAAAGAAUAUCCCGAACAAGCUAGUGGAGACCAAAAGAGAACUAUUAGAAGGCUUGCCGGUGGCUUCUUCUUGAGCGGAGAGGUUUUGUACAAAAGGACUCCAGAUCUGAAUAUUUUAAGAUGUGUAGAUGCCCAAGAGGCCGAAAGAAUCAUGAAUGAAGUACACACAGGAGUGUGUGGACCCCAUAUGAAUGGAUACGUCAUGGCAAAGAAAAUCCUUCGAGCAGGUUAUUACUGGAUGACUAUGAAAAAAGAUUGCUUUAGUUUUGUCCGAAAGUGUCAUCAGUGUCAGGUACAUGGUGACCUGAAUCAUGCACCACCUUCAGAACUACAUCCUAUGUCAACACUGUGGCCGUUCGUUGCUUGGGGUAUGGAUGUCAUUGGGCCAAUCGAGCCAAAAGCAUCGUAUGGGCACAAAUUCAUAUUGGUUUCGAUUGACUACUUCACAAAAUGGGUUGAAGCAGUCACUCUAAAAGCCGUCACUAAGAAAGCAGUGAUAGACUUCGUGCACUCCAACAUCAUAUGCCAUUUUGGUAUUCCUAAAACUAUCAUUACGGACAAUGCUGCAAAUCUGAAUAGUCAUUUGAUGACGGAAGUAUGCGAACAAUUUAAGAUCAUGCAUCCGAGUUCUACCCCUUAUUGGCCCAAAGCUAAUGGUGUCGUCGAAGCAGCAAACAAGAACAUCAAGAAGAUUCUUAGGAAGAUGAUCCAAAGUUCUAGACAAUGGCAUGAAAAGUUGUCGUUUGCAUUGUUGGGAUAUCACACAACUGUGCGCACAUCAGUUGGAGCAACACCCUAUCUAUUGGUUUAUGGCACUGAAGCCGUAAUACCCGCAGAAUUUGAAAUUCCUUCUCUUCGAAUCAUCGUCAAAGUCGAGAUUGGGAUAGUGAGUGGGUCAAGACCCGUCUAGAACAACUAACCCUGAUUGAUGAAAAGUAAAUGACCGCAGUUUGCCACGGGCAGUUGUAUCAAUGAAUAAUGGCCCGUUCCUACAACAAGAAAGUACGACCUAGAAACUUUGAAGCGGGACAACUCAUUUUGAGAUGUAUUCUCCUGCAUCACAAGGAAGCAAAAGGAAAGUUCGCUCUAAACUGGAAAGGUCCAUACAUUAUAAGGGAAUUGUUGCCGAAGGGGCAUUGUACUUGGGAGACAUUGAAGGAAAUAACCCUGAAACAACUGUAAAUGCAGAAGCUGUCAAAAUGUAUUACAUUUAACCCUUCAGCGGUACUAAUAUUAUCCGAUUAGGAUGACGAAGGCUUUCAUUCUCGCUACCACAAACACUUAAACCCUUUGCUAACCUUUUGAGUCGGUUAUCUUUCUUUGAUUACCCUCUUUGGAACCCGAAAGCUUUUGUAAAAAAAAAAUUUAAAAAAACAUGGUAUCCUAGGGUCCCCAAUCUCUAGUUACAUGUGUGUUUAACAUAGUGUCCAAUCCCCUAGUCGCUUCUAGCAUAACAUGGUAGCCUUUUCCGUUAUAGGGUCCCACUCCCUAGUUGUUUCCCGGCAUAACCCGAGGACCUUUUUUUUCCCGGCAUAACCCGAGGACCCUUUUUUCUUUUCUUAGCAUAACCCGAGGACCCUUUUUUCUUUUCCCGGCAUAAUCUAAGGACCUUUUUUCUUUUCCGGCAUAACUCGAUGACUUUCCCGGCAUAACUCGAGGUCCUUUUUUUCUGGCAUAACCCGAUGACACUCCCGACAUAACCUGAGGACCUUUCUUCUUUCCCGGCAUAACCCGAAGAUCUUUUUUUCUUUUCCCGGUAGAACCCGAGGACCCCUUUUUUUCCUCGCAUAACCCGAGGACCCUUUUUUCUUUUCCCGGCAUAACUCGAGGACCCUGUUUCUUUUCUCGGCAUAACCCGAGGACCUUUUUUCUUUUCCUAGCAUAACCCGGUCAUUUUUCCAGCAUAACCUGGUAAUCUUCCCAACUUGGGGCCUCCGAUCCCCAUUUGAUUGUAUUUUAGACAUAGGGUCUCCACUCUUCAAUCUCUUCUUCUCAGGGAUACACAAUCCCGAUUUUAAUUGCUUUCAAUAAAGAAAUAGUUUAGAUUUUUGUUACAAAAACUCACAAAAUUUUCCUAGUGAAAACUGGGAUAGAAAAUUUUGUUCAUUUGUUUGCCUUGGUGCCUGAACAAGUUUUCACUGUGAGCCAUAAGUUUUGAGAUGACCAAAAGAAGGAGUUUCAAUCCAAAUAAAUGAAAAGAAGAACAAGAAAAGAAGUUGAACUCUAAGUAUAGAAGCGGAGAAAAGAUGCGAAUUGCCCAAGAUAUGAUUGAAGUCAUAAGCUUUGCAUGUCCCGCCUUGAUAUGAGAAGCUGAAGAAGAAUGAACCAGCGGUUGCAGCUAACGAGCAUCAAGAUUCAGAUCAGAUUCUGCAGGAAGAACUGGACAAGACUCAAGAUCGAGCUUUAGAAGGUUUAUAGAUAGGAAUCUUGUAACUCGUAGUUGAUAGGCUUAGCUAGUUUAGCUUUUCAUCUUUCAUUUCGAUGUAAUAAGGAGUUCAGUGAGCAGAAACAACAACAACAACAGUGAAAUCACAGUUUUCCGGUAGUCCCAGCUACCAAAACUUCCAGAACUACACUGACCUGAUUUCUUUAUAGCCAAGGAUAUGUAGACAAUCUCCAAAGCAAGGUUCGGUCAGACUUUUUAAAAGGUGCUUCUCAUGGAGUUUCAAACGGGCAAAAAUUGCUCGUAAUUUCUCAUUUUAUCUUUGCCCGAAAACCCUUCAUAUUUUCAAGCAAAGAGGGGCAGCUGUGAGCAUGUGAUUUUUUUCCCUAUAUGAAUUACUCCUAUAAAAUCCAAGAAAAUAGAUUUUUUCCAAUUAUUUACUAUUUUAUAGAAUUUUUGUAGGAUUUUAUUAAUUGUUUGCAUUUUUGUGCACGUUUAAUUUUCAUUAAAAUCAUGAAAAAUGUCAAAAAUACCAUGCAUUGCAUUUAGAUUUUGUUUUUACAUUUUUAGGAAUAAUUAGUUAUUUAUUUUAUUAAAAAUAAAAAUUACAAAAAUGGCCCAUUUUUACAUUUUUAUCUUUUAAUUUAUAGAUUAGUGAUUUUUUUCUUCUAAUUUAGGAUCAUAGUAAUUUUAUAAUUUUCCUAGAUAUUUGGCUUAAUUUUACAAUUUUAGAGUAAUUUAGGAAUUUAAUAUAGGAUAUUUAAUUAAAGAAAAGAAAAAGAAAAAAGAAAAACAAAAAGGAAAUAGUUAGUUAUUUGAAAAGGGUAUUUAUUUUCGAAUUUGGGCCAUUUUAAGCCAAAACCCAGUCCAAAAUCAACCCAGAUCCGAGCCCAAAAUUUAAUUUCCCGGUCCAGCCCCCUAUCUAAACUAAACGACCCCGUUUUGCCACCCCUGAUCACAGCCGUUGGAUCCUAGCUAUCCAGCGGUUCGGAACUGGUUAACCCAAAACCAUAUAACUGUCUGAAAUUCCUCCACCCCCCAUUCGAACCCUCUCUCAUUCCUAUCUCCUUCAACCAAACCCUAAGAGACCAACCUCCCCUAAAUUCCUCGCCGCUUCUGCUGCUAACCGCCACUAAAAAUCGCCUUACGGCAGUUCCGGUGUUCCACCACCAAAUCAACACCCCAGAACCCCCGUCAUCUCCCC